CCUCUGUGAUCUCACAGAAGGGGUCACUGUUAUGGUUAUGGGUGUACCCUAGCUCUGAGGGCAGCAGAGUCCAUGAUAGAAGGUGGCAGAGUCCUUUCUAGGUUUGCCGUCCCCCUCACAUCCACGAAUAACUGGGUCCCACUGGAUGGGACAAUACAUGCCAUGUAGAAUGUAACACCAUGUUUCUACAGUUGAAAGAAGCGUUUAUCACUAAAUCUCUACAAAGCAGAAGGCAAAGAUAACCAGAAAUUCAUAAACAAAAACUUUCACAAGCAAAUA
Mus musculus (house mouse) is the source of this 279-nucleotide long non-coding RNA. RefSeq annotates it as predicted gene, 35077. The transcript has 3 exons. The record is from RefSeq and is a predicted model, not a curated record. Lineage: Eukaryota; Metazoa; Chordata; Mammalia; Rodentia; Muridae.